AAAAAUUGUUUGAUUACAGAAAUAUACUCAUUGGAGCUUGACUCAGCCACAAAAUGUUGUUGUAGUAAUUGAAAGAAAAAAUCAGAUUUCAAGACAGACACUACAGUUUUUAUAUAAUUUUUUUCUGCUGGCAUAUAUUAAUUAUUUUUAAUAUUUUUCAACUGACAAAUUGUGACAAAUAUUAUGUGUUUAAAAUUUAAAUAUUAUAAUUGUUUUUUUCAUAUCAUAAUUAUGAGAAGAUAAUGAAAAAAUUUGAAUUUUUAAUAAUAUUAAUUGUCAUUUUUAAAAUUCAAUCAACUUGUGCACGUCUUUUAAAUUGUCAAGAAGAAAAAUAUUGGUGUAUUAAUAUAAAAACAGCAAAUCAAUGUGAUAAAAUUAAUUAUUGCAAAGUGAUUUGGGAUAAAAAAAAAGUGCCAGAUAAUUCAAUUAAAAAAAAAAGUAUUAUCGAAAUAAAUAUGUCGACAUUGAGAUGUGCUCGUCGAUUUAAAGAGCCAAAUGAACUUCGUUUUAUAUUUUGGUAUAUCUCGUGUGAUUAACAAUUUAAUUUUAUUAAAUUAAUUUUAAAAUAAAUAAAAUUAUUUAACAAUACAUGAAAAAAAAAAAAUCAAUGUUUCUAUUGUUGGAAAACUUGGGUUUUCUAACCGCUAGGUGUCUAAUAGUCGAGAGAAUUUUUUCUAUGUGAUUCACAGAUGGAAGUUAUUCAAAAACCCCCGUGAAACGAGCUUAAGCAUACUUACCUGGCGCAGAGGAUACCGUGAUCAUGAAGGCGGUUCCUCCAGAAUGAGGCUCUUCCAUUGCACUACGGUUGAGCUGAACUCUGCGAAUAUCCCUAAUGUGGAUAUCUCGGGCGUAUAAUUUUUGGUAGUCGGGACUGCGUUCGCGCUAUCCCGUUCAUAAUUAAUUAAAAAAUAAAAUAUAUCUUCUACUCUUAAUUAAUAAUGUUCCAAAUUCAUAAUUCUGAUAUUACUCCAAAAUUAAUUUCAAUUGGAGAAUCAAUUUAGACCAUAAUGCAUAAUUAUUAAUUACCAUCAGACAAUUAAAAUAAUAAGAAAAAUAAAUUUGCCAAAAUGAUAUAUUAAUUUUUUUCGUUUACAUAUAUAAUUGAUCAUCAUUUAUAAAUUACCAGUUUUGUACUGUUUGAACAUAUUGAGGUGUAAAUGAUGUAGCAUAAAAAAGUUUAUUGAAAAAUUAAUGUAUUGCUAUUUUUUUUUGUUCUAAUUUAUUUCUAAUUGUACGUACUAUUCGAACUUUUCACACAAAAUAUUCAGUUGAAACUUGAAAGAGAAGAAAUCUAUACUUAUGUUGAUGAUUAUGUUGUCAAAAAAAAAUAUAUAUAAAUGAAAGAUUAAGUGUUUAUUAAUUUGUUAUAGACUGAAUAUUAUUUAUAAUGGGUGAUUUUGUAACAAACAAUAAUAAUUGUGGACAAAAUUUAUUACAACUUGUUCCAAGUGGAAAUGCAACACUUGCUGAAUUAAUGAGACUAAAAGAAUAUGUUCCUCCAGUAUUCAGGUUGUAAUAAUAAAAAUAAUAACAAUUUAUAUUUAAAUAACAAUACUUAGUAUAUUGUUAAUAUAAUUAUUAAAUUUUCAGACUCGAUUCAAAACAAUGUACUUAAAAAUACAAUUGUAUUUGAUUUUGCUUAUUUUAAAGCAGCAAAUAUACAUGAAGAAAAAAUAGAAAAUGAUCCAGUAAAUAUUAAAUUUAUUUAUCACAUAUUUUCAUUGAAAUAUCAUUAUAUUAUGAAUAGAAAAUUAUUUUGUUUAAUAUUAAAGAUACUUCAAGAAUGUGAUGAAAAUUUACGUGAAAAUUAUUCAGAUGUUUUAACACGUUUUUAUCUGGCAUUUGAAAUUAUCCACAAAUACAUAACUUAGUUCAUGGAGGUCUAUAAAACUCCAUGACUUAGCUAAAUAGUUAUGUUGAUGAUUUAGAGGAUAAUAUUUAUACUCAGCAGUCACUUGAGACUGUCAUAUUGAAUGAUGAAGAAUAACAAUUACUAGUAAGUACUUGUAAAUAAUUUGUUAGCUUGAAAAAUGAUGUUUAAUAAAUUAAUAAUUAAAUUAUUUUUAGUGUGAAGCAUUAUGUCUUCAUGGUGUUGUUCUUCUUCUUGUUGAUCAUCAAUUUGGUGGUCAAACACGUGAAAGAUUAUUAGUAUUUAAUCAUCGUUACAAUGCCCAAGUUGAUGAAAUAUAUUUACAUAUACGUUCAACUGGUUUAUUCAAAAUCAUCACAAAAACGUCCACCAAAUUAUCCGGAUGAUUACUUCAAACAUGUACCAAUUAAACCAAAUUUGAUUGACUUACUAAUUGGCAAACCACAAUCAGAUGAAAUAUAUAACCAAAAUAUUGCAUUUUCAAAUCCAGAUACUUGAAUACCUGGCAAAGAAGAAAGUUUAAAGAAUUUAUUAAUAAAUAAUACAAAUAAAUCUGAUGUUACAUUUAUUAAAAAUAGCAACAGUAGCACCAGUAAUAACAGCAACAAUAAUUGUGAUACAUUUCUUGGUAGACUUGCUAAAGGAUUGAUUAAAUUAACAGAUCCAAAAUUAACAAUUUACAUGAAACACACGUGGGCAUGGUAUGAUUUAUUAACUCAAAAUGAGCUGUUAAAUCAUAAAAUAUUUUCAAUAAUAUUACGAGCAAUGGGAACACCUGGAUUAUAUGGGCUUGAUAAAUCAUUAUCACAUUAUAUUAAUCAAGAAUUAAAUAAUAUUUAUAAACACAUUGAUAUAUUUAAU
Long non-coding RNA from Aphidius gifuensis, 2731 nucleotides. RefSeq lists it as uncharacterized. Lineage: Eukaryota; Metazoa; Arthropoda; Insecta; Hymenoptera; Braconidae. The record is from RefSeq and is a predicted model, not a curated record. The transcript is spliced from 3 exons.